Molecule: long non-coding RNA, 346 nt
Filed under: Theobroma cacao (cacao)
Lineage: Eukaryota; Viridiplantae; Streptophyta; Magnoliopsida; Malvales; Malvaceae
Description: long non-coding RNA (TCAC_LNC001201)
Source: RNAcentral
AACAUCAUUCCGUCCCUAUAUCAUUCUAACUUAAUAAUCAUAUUUCAAAUAUGCAAGGCAUGUAAACCAAACACGCUAAGGCAUGUGAGUCACCUUAAUGGCAAUACCAAAUAUGGUAGAGCCAUGUAAACCAAACAUGCUAAGGCACAUAAGCCAUAUUAAUGGCAAAUCCAAACUUGUUAAGGCACGUAAGCCAUAUUAAUGGAAAUUACAAAUAUGCUAAGGUGUCAUGAUCCGGUACUCUCUUCAAGCCCGUGACAACCGCCGUGAUGUCUCGAUAGACAAACCUUACUCGGAAUGUUAAUCGAAACCUCGCAAGGAUCUAGCAUUAGUUUUUUGCCUCCCC